RNAcentral lists this ribosomal RNA (178 nucleotides) under uncultured bacterium. RNAcentral describes it as "partial 16S ribosomal RNA". It matches the Rfam family "Bacterial small subunit ribosomal RNA", at positions 338 to 508 of the family's 1533-position model. The record is from RNAcentral.
CCUACGGGAGGCAGCAGUGGGGAAUAUUGGACAAUGGGGGCAACCCUGAUCCAGCGACGCCGCGUGUGUGAAGAAGGCCUGCGGGUUGUAAAGCACUUUUAGUGGGGAUGAAAAGCCGGAGGUUAAUACCUUCCGGUCUUGACCUAACCCAAAGAAAAAGCACCGGCUAACUCUGUGC